This 496-nucleotide ribosomal RNA is filed under the name uncultured bacterium. RNAcentral's name for it is "partial 16S ribosomal RNA". It matches the Rfam family "Bacterial small subunit ribosomal RNA", at positions 30 to 523 of the family's 1533-position model. The record is from RNAcentral.
AUUGAACGCUGGCGGAAUGCUUUACACAUGCAAGUCGAACGGUAGAGGGGGCAACCCCUCGAGAGUGGCGAACGGGUGAGUAAUAUAUCGGAACGUGCCCAGUCGUGGGGGAUAACGUAGCGAAAGUUACGCUAAUGCCGCAUACGAUCUACGGAUGAAAGCGGGGGAUCGCAAGACCUCGCGCGAUUGGAGCGGCCGAUAUCAGAUUAGGUUGUUGGUGAGGUAAAAGCUCACCAAGCCUGCGAUCUGUAGCUGGUCUGAGAGGACGACCAGCCACACUGGAACUGAGACACGGUCCAGACUCCUACGGGAGGCAGCAGUGGGGAAUUUUGGACAAUGGACGCAAGUCUGAUCCAGCAAUGCCGCGUGCAGGACGAAGGCCUUCGGGUUGUAAACUGCUUUUGUACGGAACGAAACGGUGAGCUCUAAUACAGUUUGCUAAUGACGGUACCGUAAGAAUGAGCACCGGCUAACUACGUGCCAGCAGCCGCCGUAA